RNAcentral lists this ribosomal RNA (796 nucleotides) under uncultured Glomeromycotina. Its description in RNAcentral is "SSU rRNA". It matches the Rfam family "Eukaryotic small subunit ribosomal RNA", at positions 314 to 1114 of the family's 1831-position model. The record is from RNAcentral. Lineage: Eukaryota; Fungi; Glomeromycota.
AUCAACUUUCGAUGGUAGGAUAGAGGCCUACCAUGGUGGUAACGGGUAACGGGGUGUUAGGGCACGACACCGGAGAGGGAGCCUGAGAAACGGCUACCACAUCCAAGGAUGGCAGCAGGCGCGCAAAUUACCCAAUCCCGACACGGGGAGGUAGUGACAAUAAAUAACAAUACGGGGUCCUUUCGGGUUUCGUAAUUGGAAUGAGUACAAUUUAAAUCUCUUAACGAGGAACAAUUGGAGGGCAAGUCUGGUGCCAGCAGCCGCGGUAAUUCCAGCUCCAAUAGCGUAUAUUAAAGUUGUUGCAGUUAAAAAGCUCGUAGUUGAAUUUCGGGAUUAGUACGUUGGUCGUGCCUUCGGUACGUACUGGUGUUACUGAUUCCUACCUUCUGACGAACCAUCAUGUCAUUAAUUUGGUGUGGCGGGGAAUCAGGACUGUUACUUUGAAAAAAUUAGAGUGUUUAAAGCAGGCUCGCGCUUGAAUACAUUAGCAUGGAAUAAUGAAAUAGGACGUUGACCCUAUUUUGUUGGUUUCUAGGAUUGACGUAGUGAUUAAUAGGGAUAGUUGGGGGCAUUAGUAUUCAAUUGUCAGAGGUGAAAUUCUUGGAUUUAUUGAAGACUAACUACUGCGAAAGCAUUUGCCAAGGAUGUUUUCAUUAAUCAAGAACGAAAGUUAGGGGAUCGAAGACGAUCAGAUACCGUCGUAGUCUUAACCAUAAACUAUGCCGACUAGGGAUCGGAUGAUGUUAUUUUUAAUGACUCAUUCGGCGCCUUACGGGAAACCAAAGUGUUUGGGUUC